Molecule: ribosomal RNA, 482 nt
Filed under: uncultured bacterium
Lineage: Bacteria
Description: partial 16S ribosomal RNA
Rfam family: Bacterial small subunit ribosomal RNA
Source: RNAcentral
AUUGAACGCUGGCGGCAUGCUUUACACAUGCAAGUCGAACGGUAACAGGCCGCAUGGUGCUGACGAGUGGCGAACGGGUGGGUAAUGCAUCGGUACGUGCCCAGUCGUUGGGGAUAACUACUCGUAAGAGUAGCUAAUCCCGUAUACGAUCUAUGGAUGAACGCGGGGGACCGUAAGGCCUCGCGCGAUUGGAUCGGCCGAUGUGAGAUUAGGUAGAUGGUGGGGUAGAGGCUGACCAAGCCGACGAUCGGUAGCUGUUCUGAGAGGACGACCAGCCACAUGGGCAGUGAGACAGGGCCGAGACUCCUACGGUAGGCCGCAGUCGGGAAUGUUAGGCAAUGGGGGCGAGCAUGAUCCAGCAAGAGGGCGUGCAGGAAGAAGACGCUAGGGUGGGAAACUGAUUUUGUACGGAGCAAAACGGCUCUGGUUAAUACGCGGCGCUAAUGACGGUACCGGAAGAAGAAGCACCGGCUAACUACGUG